UAAAAAAUAUUUUUAAAAUUUUAUUGGUGGUUGCAAAUAAAAUUAGUAAGGGAACCGACCGUUCCUAACGCAAGUAAGAAAAUGUUUGGUGGUUGAUUUCAAAUUCGAAUUCUAAUUGGUUCACAUUUUCAACUAAGUUUAUUUUUAAAUAAAAUAAACAAAGCGGAUGGCAUGCUACCUAUCUCUUAAAAAAAUAAUAAUAAUAAAAUUAGUAAUGGAGGAGGCAUCUGGCAGAAAUUAAAGGCAAUUUAUAUAUUCCAAUCUCAAACCUAGCAGAGCUACAAGAUCUCAUAGAUCUCGAUAUUGAGUUCCCAAUUCAUUUAUAAAAAAGUUGGGCUGGAAUGCUAUCGCCUAUCGGUGACAAGCGGGUUUCAUUGUCAUCCAUUUAUUUUCGACGACGAUUGGCAUGAUUGAACAUGAUCUAUACCACAUGAAGCAUCUAGAAACCAAAUUUCAAAUGUUUUCGAUAUCAUUGACCUAAAAGAGUUUCAAAAUUUAUAAUUUUAAUAGUCAAUACGAGGCUUUUUUUUCAUUUAACGGUAUAAAGAUAUUCACAUCAAUUGAAUUUUGAUUAGAAAAUUUUUUAAGCUAUUUAAAAUAAGAUCUAUACUCUCAAUCUUGAUUACAAGAUUUCUAUCAUCACUUCUUAAAAGAUAUUCAUUAUCAGUCGUUCAUUUUUGUGUCCACUUGAUGGACAAAAGAACAAUAUCGAAAAAGUAUGAAAUUUAAUUUCUAAAUGUUUCAAGUGGUAUAAAUCAUGUUCAACGAUACUGAUCGUCUAUUUGGAGGCUCCAUCAUCGAAAAUAAAUAAAUGGUAACGGAACCCGUUUACUACUGAUAACAUUCCUGCUCAACUGUAUUUAACAGAUUUAUUAUGUAAAUAUAUUGAAGCUCAACUAUGUCAGCUGGUAAAAUAGAAUUUAGUAUGUGAACUAUUUUUAAAAAUGAAAUAGGCCCCCGCAAGUUAGGAGUUUUCCUAGCACCUACUUUUUCAAUCUUUUAUAAAAUUAUGAUAUAUUCCCUAAUGAGAGAGGGGAGGCAUGUGUUGUGCAUGUUCAAAGAGAAGAGAAAUGAAUUUAUUUUGUGACCACAUGCUUCAUUGAUAUCACCAACCUAAUACGUGAAGGAAAAAAAGUCCGAUAAUUUAGAGAAAGAAUAAACCACAUUUUUUUGUCCUUAGAUUAUAAAGCGGAUGAUAUUUGGUUCUUAAAUUUUAAUUUAUUGCAACGUUCUCUAGUUCAAUUAUUUUAGAUUAGUAUAACUAAGUUUUUAAAUUUAAUUUAGUUGGCUAAAUUAAUGCUGAUGUGAAGCUGAUGUAGUGGCAGUGUGAUAUAGUAGUCAUUGUCACGUAUCAAUCAUUACUAUAAUAUCAGCGAAGCGUCAUUUUUAACUAGACUCAAUUACAAUAAUCUAAAAAAUUUGAGCUAAAAAUUGCAAUGGACUAAAAUUUAAGGACCAAAAGUGUAAGUUAGCAUUUGGAUAAAUAUUGUGAAAUGUGUG
Molecule: long non-coding RNA, 1500 nt
Filed under: Ananas comosus (pineapple)
Lineage: Eukaryota; Viridiplantae; Streptophyta; Magnoliopsida; Poales; Bromeliaceae
Description: long non-coding RNA (ACOM_LNC011750)
Source: RNAcentral